This 1301-nucleotide ribosomal RNA is filed under the name metagenome. Its description in RNAcentral is "SSU rRNA". It matches the Rfam family "Eukaryotic small subunit ribosomal RNA", at positions 1 to 1341 of the family's 1831-position model. The record is from RNAcentral.
UCUGGUUGAUCCUGCCAGUAAUAUAUGCUUGUCUCAAAGAUUAAUCCAUGCAUGUCUAAGUAUAAAUAGUAUACCUUAAAACUGCAAAUGGCUCAUUAAAACAGUUAUAGUUUAUUUGAUAAUCAAACGCUACAUGGAUAACCGUGGUAAUUCUAGAGCUAAUACAUGCUGAUAACCCGGCGCAAGUCGCGGUUGUAUUUAUUAGAUAUUAAACCAAUAUGUUAAUAGCAUUUUGAAGGAAUUACAGUAACUGAUCGAAUCCUUGCUUGUCGAGGAUAAAUCAUUCAAGUUUCUGCCCUAUCAGCUUUCGAUGGUAGUGUAUUGGACUACCAUGGCGAUUACGGGUAACGGAGAAUUAGUGUUCGAUUCCGGAGAGGGAGCCUGAGAAACGGCUACCACAUCUAAGGAAGGCAGCAGGAGCGUAAAUUACCCAAUGUCGACUCGAUGAGCGUAGUGACAAUACAUAACAAAGAGGGGAUUUUUUAUCUUACUCUAUUGCAAUGAGGCAUGUUUAAUAACCUGUUCGAGCAACCAGUGAAGGGCAAGUCUGGUGCCAGCAGCCGCGGUAAUUCCAGCUUCACGAGUGUAUAUUUAAGUUGUUGCAGUUAAAAAGCUCGUAGUUGAACUUCUGUUUGUUCAGGAGGCGUGCGAGCGCAGCCUGGGCGAACAUCCGCCUGAAAAAUCAUUCGGGUCUUCACUGAUUCAGUGAUGGAUCAGGCAUUUUACUUUGAAAAAAUUAGAGUGUUCAAAGCAGGCUUUCGCCUGAAUACAUUAGCAUGGAAUAAUAGAAUAGGACGCUGUUCAAUUUGUUGGUUAUUGAAUUGCGUAAUGAUUAAUAGGGACAGUUGGGGGCAUUUGUAUUUAAUUGUCAGAGGUGAAAUUCUUGGAUUUAUUAAAGACAAACUUAUGCGAAAGCAUUUGCCAAGGAUGUUUUCAUUAAUCAAGAACGAAAGUUAGAGGAUCAAAGACGAUCAGAUACCGUCCUAGUUUUAACUAUAAACUAUGCCGACUCGGUCUCAGUCAAGUCUUCCUAACUUGAUUGGUGCCGUAUGAGAAAUCAAAGUCUUUGGGUUCCGGGGGGAGUAUGGUCGCAAGGUUGAAACUUAAAGGAAUAGACGGAACAUCACUACCAGGUGUGGAUCCUGCGGCUUAAUUUGACCCAACACGGGGAAACUUACCAGCGCAAAACAAGGGUGGGAUUGACAGAUUGAGAGCUCUUUCUUGAUUCUUUGGAUAGUGGUGCAUGGCCGUUCUUAGUUGGUGGAGUGAUUUGUCUGCUUAAUUGCGUUAACGAACGAGAC